UACGUAGGGCGCAAGCGUUGUCCGGAAUUAUUGGGCGUAAAGGGCUCGUAGGCGGUUUGUCGCGUCGGGAGUGAAAACUCAGGGCUCAACCCUGAGCGUGCUUCCGAUACGGGCAGACUAGAGGUAUUCAGGGGAGAACGGAAUUCCUGGUGUAGCGGUGGAAUGCGCAGAUAUCAGGAGGAACACCGGUGGCGAAGGCGGUUCUCUGGGAAUUACCUGACGCUGAGGAGCGAAAGCAUGGGGAGCGAACAGG
RNAcentral lists this ribosomal RNA (253 nucleotides) under uncultured bacterium. RNAcentral describes it as "partial 16S ribosomal RNA". It matches the Rfam family "Bacterial small subunit ribosomal RNA", at positions 524 to 776 of the family's 1533-position model. The record is from RNAcentral.